Molecule: ribosomal RNA, 253 nt
Filed under: uncultured bacterium
Lineage: Bacteria
Description: partial 16S ribosomal RNA
Rfam family: Bacterial small subunit ribosomal RNA
Source: RNAcentral
UACGUAGGGGGCAAGCGUUGUCUGGAAUCAUUGGGCGUAAAGCGCGUGUAGGCGGUCCGGUAAGUCCGCUGUGAAAGUCGGGGGCUCAACCCUCGGAUGCCGGUGGAUACUGUCGGGCUUGAGUACGGAAGAGGCGAGUGGAAUUCCUGGUGUAGCGGUGAAAUGCGCAGAUAUCAGGAGGAACACCAAUUGCGAAGGCAGCUCGCUGGGACGUUACUGACGCUGAGACGCGAAAGCGUGGGGAGCAAACAGG